RNAcentral lists this ribosomal RNA (261 nucleotides) under uncultured archaeon. RNAcentral's name for it is "partial 16S ribosomal RNA". It matches the Rfam family "Archaeal small subunit ribosomal RNA", at positions 748 to 1008 of the family's 1478-position model. The record is from RNAcentral.
UAGGCGUAAAUGAUGCGAGUUAAGUGUGGGGGCAUCUACGAGAUGGCCCUGUGCUGUAGGGUAGCCGUUAAACUCGCUGCCUGGGGAGUACGGUCGCAAGGCUGAAACUUAAAGGAAUUGGCGGGGGGAGCACCACAAGAGGUGGAGGCUGCGGUUCAAUUGGACUCAACGCCGGAAACUCAUCGGAUAAGACAGCUGAAUGAUUGUCAAUCUGAAGGUUUUACAUGACCAGCUGAGAGGAGGUGCAUGGCGUCAGUGACU